RNAcentral lists this ribosomal RNA (765 nucleotides) under uncultured Oceanospirillales bacterium. Its description in RNAcentral is "bacterial SSU rRNA". It matches the Rfam family "Bacterial small subunit ribosomal RNA", at positions 8 to 766 of the family's 1533-position model. The record is from RNAcentral. Lineage: Bacteria; Pseudomonadati; Pseudomonadota; Gammaproteobacteria; Oceanospirillales.
AGAGUUUGAUCAUGGCUCAGAUUGAACGCUGGCGGCAGGCCUAACACAUGCAAGUCGAGCGGAAACGAUCCUAGCUUGCUAGGAGGCGUCGAGCGGCGGACGGGUGAGUAACGCGUGAGAAUCUACCCAUGAGUGGGGGACAACCCGGGGAAACUCGGGCUAAUACCGCAUACGCCCUACGGGGUAAAGCAGGGGACCUUCGGGCCUUGCGCUGAUGGAUGAGCUCGCGUCGGAUUAGCUUGUUGGUGAGGUAAAGGCUCACCAAGGCGACGAUCCGUAGCUGGUCUGAGAGGAUGAUCAGCCGCACCGGGACUGAGACACGGCCCGGACUCCUACGGGAGGCAGCAGUGGGGAAUCUUGGACAAUGGGGGCAACCCUGAUCCAGCCAUGCCGCGUGUGUGAAGAAGGCCUUCGGGUUGUAAAGCACUUUCAGCAGGGAGGAAGGCUUACCCCUAAUACGGGUGAGUACUUGACGUUACCUGCAGAAGUAGCACCGGCUAAUUUCGUGCCAGCAGCCGCGGUAAUACGAAAGGUGCAAGCGUUAAUCGGAAUUACUGGGCGUAAAGCGCGCGUAGGCGGUGUGUUAAGUCGGAUGUGAAAGCCCAGGGCUCAACCUUGGAAUUGCAUCCGAUACUGGCACGCUAGAGUGCAGUAGAGGGAGGUGGAAUUUCCGGUGUAGCGGUGAAAUGCGUAGAGAUCGGAAGGAACACCAGUGGCGAAGCGGCCUCCUGGACUGACACUGACGCUGAGUGCGAAAGCGUGGGG